GCAGCACUGUUGACAGAGCCGACUUGACAGAAAGCCUAGUAAAGCAGAGAGGGCGUGGGGAGUGGGGGAGGUUUGUUGUGGCGGAGCUUGGAAACUGACUCUUGUUCUCAGGGAGACACAGGAAGGCAUCAUCUCAGGGAGACAGAGCUACUGCGUGCUAAGGCAGAAUUAGUGCCGAUCUUGGAGCAGAGGUUGAGACACAGGCCUGGAACCUCUUCAAAGCACCUUUCAUUGCACUGGAUCUUAUAUGUUGUCUUUCCGUAUAAACAUAUGGAGAAAAGAAUGUCUGGCCCAGCUUUCUUAGCCACUCAUGAAGAUUUCAGAUGCCCUGCUCAGCCAUGGGUCAGCUGCCCCUGGAAUUCAGGAGGGUAGCUCUCAGGUUGAAUCUGGGGAGCCAAUACAGAUCUGUUCCUAAUGCAUGCUCUAGAUCAGGGCUUCACCGCUUCAACCCUCCAGCUGUUUUUGGACUGCAACUCCCAUCAUCCCCAGUCACAGUAGCCAAUAGUCUUGGGUUGUGGGCAUUGUAGUCCAGCACUUGCAGGAGGGCCGCAGUUGUGCAGCCCUGCCCUAGAUUUAUGUAUGUCUUCACUGGAGGUUCUUCAAAACAUCAGUGUAAAUCCCUACUAACUAGGCUAAGAGAUACCUUUUAAAGUGAUAUCUCUUAUAUUUGACAGAGGAGAGAGCAAUUAUUCCUCUUCAGUCCGGCAUAGCAUCCUUCCAGAGGCUGUUCCUGGUGAUGGUGAUGGUGUGUGUGUGUGUGUGUGUGUGUGUGUGUGUUUAGACUGCGAGUUCUUUUGGGACACUUCUGUGUGCAUGCGUGUGUGUUGUAUUUUGUUUUUGUUAAUGGUGAGUCCUUUUGGAACAGGGAACGAUUCUCUCUCUCUCUCUCUCUUUCUCUCUCUCUCUCUCGCUAUGUAAAUCAACAACUUUGUGUGUGUGUGAAAAGCAAUAUAGAAGUAUUUUUAAUAAUAGUAAAGUCACGUAUUUCAUGAAGCAAGCUCAUUUUGUUUGCCCAUUUGGGUAUUCAACAUCCCGAGUUGAAUACUAACUGCUAACUUGGCAAAGAGGCACCUUUUGACGUGGUGAUUCUCUUUAUUUAGCAGGAGGAGAGUAACUGGCCCUCUCCAUCCCCAGCACAGUACCUCCAGUGACUGGUGCUGGUGUCUAUCUUAUGUUUCUUUUUAGAUUGUGAGCCCUUUGGGGACAGGGAGCCAUCUUACUUGUUUGUUAUUUCUCUGUGUAAACCGCCCUAAGCCAUUUUUGGAAGGGCGGUAUAGAAAUUGAAUGAAUGAAUGAAUGAAUGAAUGAAUGAAUGAAGUUUGUAUGGGUAAUCUUAGCUAAACAGAGUUUGUAUUUUUAGAUUCACAUGGCAGCUUCACAUGACCACCGGCCAGUCCGGUCAGUGCCUAGGAAAAUGUUGGGCACUGUGAGCAUGUACUCCUGAUGGGCAUGUCAUGCCUAAAUCUGAUUCCUGAGCUGCCCACCCAAACAGCUACUGAUUUUCUCCACCCAGUUUCAGCACUUGAAUCCAAAUGAGCAGAGAAUGUCUAGCGAAAGCUGACAGAUGGACAGCUUGGGAACCAAACAGGAGCAUAGGAAGCUGCCUUAUACUGAGUCAGACCAUUGGUCCAUCUAGCUCAGUAUUGUCUACACAGACUGGCAGCAGCUUCCCCAAGGUUGCAGGCAGGAAUCUCUUUCUCAGCCCAUCUUGGAGAUGCCAGGGAGGGAACCUGGGACCUUCUACAUGUAAGCAGGCAGGUGCUUUUCCCAGAGCAGCCCCAUCUCUUAAGGGGAAUAUCUUGCAGUGCUGACACAUGUAGUCUCCCAUUCAUAUGCAAUCAGGGCAGACCCUGCUUAGCAAAGGGGACAAGUCAUGCUUGCUACCACAAGAUCAGCUCUCCUCAUUUGAGACCAGGGGUUGCUUGCUAACCCUCUAGGAUUGGCAUCAGUCUCCGGGUGACUCUUGAAAGCAACCUUGCAGAGUGUAAUAGCUUGAUAUUGUUAAAAAUGUUGGUGAGGGGGGAAGGGUUAUAUUCAGGAAAGCUUCAGUCAGAGUUGGCAUCCCUACUGGAGAAUGAGGGGAUGGGGGCAACUAUUUUUUAAUAUCUUACAUCUAUUUCUAAAAGAUCUGGAAACAUUAUAAUCCAUAUGGAUGCAGAGUGUCUUGUGGUAGCAAGCCUGACUUGUCCCCAUAGCUAAGCAGGGUCUGCCCUGGUUGCAUCUCAAUGGGAGACUGGAUGUGUGAGCACUGUAAGAUAUUCCCCUCGGGGGAUGGAGCUGCUCUGGGAAGCGCAGAAGGUUCCAAGUUCCCUCCCUGGCUUCUCCAAGAUAGAUUCCUGCCUGCAACCUUGGAGAAGCUGCUUCCAGUCUGUGAAGACAAUACUGAGCUAGAUAGACCAAUGGUCUGACUCAGUAUAUGACAGUUUCCUAUGUUCCUAUGUUCCUAAGAGAGUCAGGGUGACCUGAAAUCUGAAGAGGGGGAGCCGAAGGGGGCCAGCCCUCACAAUUAACCCCAUGUAAGUUAAUGGGGUUGAGUAUGUGUGGGCUCAGUACAGUUAACAGACAAAUGGUGGGGAAGGGAAGCUUGGAACAAAAGAGAGCAGGAAAUGUCUCAGCUUGAGGAAUACUCUCUCAAGACAGCCACAAUUCCUUCUGCUUGUGAGGGGGGAAUAAAUCUACAUCCUUUACUUUUCUUACCUGCCAUUUCCCAGCUUCAUACUUUGGCUGGGGGGGAGGGGUCUAUUUAAGCUCUUGGUGUGUGUAGUUAACUCCCCAGCAAAAUAAGAUACAAACAACUGUAUGUGAGUGAACUGCUGAGAAAGAGUGGACAGUUGCACACUGAAUCUGUUGAUCUGCUAAUUAUUGGAUGGGGAAACUCACAAUUAUAUCUAAAUUAAUAUGUCAGUUUAGAAAGGUCAAAGAAUCAUCUAGAGCAGGAACUGCUUUGAUUAUAUGUUUGUUUUUACUGACACAAGGUUUUAAUUAUUAUUAAAAAUAUUUAUAUAUUGCUUUUCAACAAUGUGAUAGAGAUGACUUUCUUGAAACGUAGUUACCGUUUCUUCCUUACGUUACAAAAAUGUAUGAGACCAUUAAGAUUCAGUUCAAUACUUAUUCUGUGAAGUGGUAAUUGAAUAUAAUAUAUAAGGUAAUAAACAUUUGUUUUUUGUUUGUAAAAGGAACAUUCUUUAAUAAAAUUUAUUUUUAAAAGGUA
Hemicordylus capensis (graceful crag lizard) is the source of this 3211-nucleotide long non-coding RNA. RefSeq lists it as uncharacterized. NCBI's taxonomy places the organism in Eukaryota, Metazoa, Chordata, Lepidosauria, Squamata, Cordylidae. The record is from RefSeq and is a predicted model, not a curated record. The transcript has 2 exons.